UCUUCUUCAAUUCAUUUUUCAUUCUCUCUCUCUUAGCUCUCUGAAAUUCCUUAUCUCUGAAUGCAUGCAUGCCUCUCUCCUUCAAUUCCUUAUCUCUGAUCUCAUCUCUCAUCUUUGUUCUUCUCUCUCCAACCAAGCACAACAGCCAACACAACAACCAAGCCGCUGCCGUCAACCACAACAAACAUUGUCGAUGCCUAAAAUCAGAAAUUUGAGGACGUGAAUUUGCUGAGUAUGAAGUUCGAAGUUUCUGGGUUUUGGAUUGUAAUUUAUUUUUCAGCAAUUUUUCUGUUUUUUUUAAUAAAUUGUAAAAAAAACAAUUUAUUUGAUGAAUAUAGCCUUAGCUUGUUCGAUUUCAAGUUUUGGAUUGAAUGUAUAAAUUGGAUUGAUGAAUAAA
Long non-coding RNA from Chenopodium quinoa (quinoa), 397 nucleotides. RefSeq lists it as uncharacterized. The record is from RefSeq and is a predicted model, not a curated record. Lineage: Eukaryota; Viridiplantae; Streptophyta; Magnoliopsida; Caryophyllales; Amaranthaceae. The transcript is spliced from 2 exons.